GUUAACGCUCUGCGCGCAGCCUGGGAGCCCCCUGAUCUUGAUUAAUUCAGCCGUCGCGCUCUUCCCAGCCACACGGGCGGGGGCUCCUGCUAGCGUAGGUGUCUCGGUUUUAAGUGAUUGAAUUUCCCCAGGAAUGUUAUUUAAAUUGACUUGCGACUGGGAUUCGCUUACCAUCCUUCUUGUGAUCUUUCUGAUUAAAAAUAGAUGAUGACCAAUAAAGGCUAGCGCAGCCCCGCAGCGUUCCCAGAGCUUGGGAGGGUUGGGGACCGCAGGAUGGUUUUCCCUUCAGGCAGAUCCAGAGGGCUGGGAAUCCAGUACCCUCAGUAGAUCUCCAGAGCACAUAGAGAAUUCUCCCGAGAGGCUAAGGUCACGGCACCACGGAAGUAUUCACAGAGGGACAGGGAGGACUCGGCCAAGGUGACCCGAGUUGACGCCGACGAAGGAGAGAAGGGGCACCUAUUUUCCCAAGGGCUCAUCCGACAAGUACCCACUGCGCUGGAGGGGCAGAACAGGGAUUUGGAUUUGGGGUGGAAGGAGGCCUCUCCUCCCGCGUAAGUAACACAUCCGUGGAAUGUCAGAGGAACUUGGCAACGUUCCUGAGCAUUGAUCUGAGUCUGAAGGGUCUUUUUCAAGGUUAUUCUUGUUUGCAAAGUUGGCCUUUAAGGGCCUCUGUGCUCCAGUUAAGCGCAUGGGGUCGCGUAGUCACCACUCCCUCCCUGGUUAAGCACCUUGGCACAAAAGGAGGGCUGGCAGUUACGUGGUCCUUGACACGGUGUCUCUGCUGGGUGGUGGCCUUAAGCAGCUUCUUAAAAGAAGGUGGCACCGUGAAGAAGCUAGGGACUUGUGCUUUUAUUAAGGUUGUCUGAAACAGUCAUCUUUGUAGAGUUAGGAUUUAUUCAUUCCCUCACCCCUAAACACGUGGUCCCUUGUAGAGAAACCAAACAGGAAAUUCCGUAGUCAUCGAGAGAAAAAAGUAAAAGCAAAGGAAAAAAUAUAGAGACACAGGAAACUCAACUGUAGGUCAGUAAAAGCCAAGAUUUCUCUCAGAGUAAGUCACACUGUAUCUCCCUAAUAACCUUAUGGAACAAGGUGAAGGGUGCUGGUUGAUUUAGACAUUUCAUUGCUCCUCCUAAAUGAAAACCUUCUAAAUAUUUCUGCAGCUGGGAGCACCUUACUUUUGCCACACACUCCAAAGCAAUCCCUCCUCCUGGAGAAGCUCUGAAGUGUCCCUCAGACAAAGCUACUUCAUGUGAAGCUUAGUUGAGACAAGUCCUUCUUUCUAAGCCUGUCUAAAGCCAGGAUAGUUCUCUGCCAUCGUUUGUUUUACUACGCAUGCCCGCUAAGUUGCUCCAGUGGUGUCUAAUUCAUUGCUACCCUGCCAGGCUCCUCUGUCCAUGGAUUCUCCAGGCAAGAAUAUUGGAGUGGAUUGCCAUGCCUUCCUCCAAGAGAUCUUCCCGGUCUAGGGAUUGAACCCACAUCUCCUACAUCGUCUGCAUUAGCAGGUGAAGAGAGGUUAAAACAUCUGAAUCACAGAGGAAGUUGUUGGCAGUACUGAAAGUGGGAUCCAAGCUUUGUGAGUCCAAGUCUGGUUACAAAGAAUGGGGAAGCCUCAUACCACCUCAAUGACUUGCACCAGGCAAAGGAACCCCUGUUCCUUUGUGUUCCCUCCACCAACAUCCGAUGCAUUAAGAGCCCAUUUAUAAGGAAAACAGAGCUGGACUCUGUUCUAGACCUUAGUGCCUUUUAAAAGGGACCUCAGAGAGCUCUCUUGGCUUCCUUCUGCCACAUGAGGAGAAAAUGAGAAGAAGGCAGUCUGCCACCCUGAAGAGGGCCUUCAUUAGAACCUGACUGUGCUGGCACCCUGAUCUUGGGCCUCCCACCUUCCAAAGCUGUGAGAAAUAAAUUUCUGUUGUUUAUAAGACCUGCAGGCUAUGAUACUGCACUAUAGCAGCCCAAACUGACUAAGAUAGCAAGAGCCUAAGAAUACGUAUAACUGUAAAUUUGAGAGGUAAUUCAAUUUUCCCCAGGUCUAUGACAAUAACCAUAUUUUCCUACCUCUUGCCUUUCCUCCCCACCUCCACCCUCUGGUAUAAAAGUAAGGCACCCAAACUAUUUCAACAUUGUGAUAGAUUAUAUUUUCCAAAGAUAAGUGCAUAUAUACACACACACACACACACACACACAUAUAUAUAUCUCCCAUCUCACAUGCUGUUAUAAUGUGACAUUAACAUGCCUCCAUCAAGAGGUGGGGUAUAUGGUCCUUCCUCUUGAGCCCAUAGUAUGCAGCACAGGUGGCUCUGGAUGAUUUCCAACAGUAGGUCAUAAAAGAUGGUAUGACUUCCACCUGGCUCUAUCUCUUGCAGCACUCACUCUUGGAACCAUGCUCAGGCCACCUGGAGAAGCGUCAUGUCGAUGCUCUGGCUGACGGUCCCAGUAGGGCCCCCAGCAUCAACCUCCAGACAAGUGAAAGAAUGAGUUCCAUGAUUCCAGUUCCCUGCCUCUGAGUUUUCUGGCCAAGGCCCUGGAAUUUGAGGAGAACCAAGUCAGCUUUGCUAUGCCCCAUUUGAAUUCCUGACCUGUGGGAACCAGGAGGUAACAAAUGCUUAUUAUUGUCCUAAGAAUCUGAGUUUUGGGAUAACUUACUCCAGUUUUUUGGUGAACCCCUGGGGGUGUUUCAAACACGUCUCAUAAACAGUCUUCUCAGAAUGCCUCACUGUUGUCACUACUGCUAGGGCACUCGUGUGAUUAGAACCACGUUGGACCCGUUUGGAAACUUCAUAUGGAGCUGGAGAAUUUCGAUUAGUUGAGAGAAGAUGAAAAACCAUUACCUAAAAGAGGAAUAACAUGUGCCAUGAUUUGGCGAUUUAGGCAUGUAGAUAUAAGUGCUUUUCUGGGUCAUUUUGGAUAUGUAACUGGUUUCAUGCUGGAGAUGGGGUAGGGGAAUUCAGUUGCAGUGGGAGGCUAGUGAAGUUCCCUUUAGGGUACAAACCACGGGCAACAUUACCCUUUUGCUGGUGGUCAUUAAGGCACAGGAUCUCAGCCUGCGUACUCCACAGUCUCUAUCCUUCUAGGGACCCUCCAGGGAAACUCUAGACAAUGUGGUUUGAGGCACAAAAGGAGUCAAGGGAUCCAAUAUGUAUUUUUAGUGAGAGGAGUCAGGAUUCUCCUACUGCUUCUGUAGUAGACUGGUUCAGAGAGUUUAGUUCAGACUGGUUCACAUUUAGGAUCUUACUUAACUGGAAGAAAUAGGAAACCUGAAGAAAUGGUGGCUUAAACAAAUGUGUUGUUGCUCUUAUCACCUCAUGUAAAAGAAAUCCAGUGGGAAGCAGCACAGAACUGGUAAGCAGUCCUGUGAUGUCAUCCUGAUGCCUCGUGGUUACAAACAUCAGCUCUACCUCCAGACUCCAUAUCUGAAUUUCAGGCAGGAAGAAAAAGAAGGGCAAAAUAUAAAAAGUGCAUCAAAAUAAAGAAACAGAAAGUAUAUUCUAGCUGUGUCUGUGCUUGCUGUACGGAGCUUUCCUAGAAGCUCUACCUAAACAAUUCUAUUUAUUCCAUGUUGGUGAGGAUGAGUUGUGUAUCCAUCUACCCCUGGUUGGGAAGGAUCUGGGAUAUAUAGUUGAGUAGUUGAGCACAUUCUGCGCAAGCCAAUGUGGGUCUUGCUGCUUUUAAAAAAUGUCUAUCACAUGGGGUUUGCAGUCUCCCAAGUGUGUCGUGUUUCUAGGAUAGGUUUUAGAGAUGUUACAUGGUAUGUUAGAAAAGGGGUUUCCCAGGUGUCUCAGUGGUAAAGAAUCUACCUGCCAAGCAGGAGAUGCGGGUUCAAUUCCUGAGUCAGAAAGAGCCCCUGGAGAAGGAAACGGCAACCCGCUCCAAUAUUCUUGCCUGGGAAAUCCCAUGGACAGAGGAGUCUGACAGGGCUGUCCAAAAGAGAUGGACAGGACUGAGUGAUUAAGCAAAAACAGCUUGCUAGAAAAAACCUUGGUUUUGGAGUCCAAAGAACUUAGUAAAAGACUUACUUUGUCUGAAUCUCAUUGUCCUUACUUAUAAGAGUGAUGUUACAUGAAGUUUUAAAAGACAUGUAAAACGUCCACUGCAACACCUGGAGAUAGGACACUUGCAAAAUAAUUAGUUCCUCUUCAGUUCCUCUUCCUCGCAAGGAUCUCUAAAGAAUCUCAGUGAGGCCCUUCUGAGUGCAGAUCAAUCAGGCUCUCCCUAGCGCCUCAGGCCUUUUUUACACAAGCAGUGAGUAAACCUCCCAACCUCCCGUGGUCAGAACAAGGGCCCCAGGGAGCCCAAACCCUCCUCUCAUGUCAGGAGAGACUUGCAGCCAGACUACAGCUAUCGUGGCACCAACUGCUCUGUCACCCUUCUCCUGAAGAAGUUCAGCAUGUGUAAGCAUUUUGGGGGCGUCUCAUGAACAGUUAUGUGUACAAAGAGGUACUUAACUUAGAUGGUUCUUAUCUCCCCUUAGUCCUAGGAUGUGGGCUGCAUGUAAUGGUAAAGAACCCACCUGCUAACGCAGGAGACAUAAGAGGCCCAGGUUCGAUCCCUGGAUCAGGAAGAUUCCCCUGGAGAAGGAAAU
Cervus elaphus (red deer) is the source of this 4579-nucleotide long non-coding RNA. RefSeq lists it as uncharacterized. The transcript has 3 exons. The record is from RefSeq and is a predicted model, not a curated record. NCBI's taxonomy places the organism in Eukaryota, Metazoa, Chordata, Mammalia, Artiodactyla, Cervidae.